Molecule: ribosomal RNA, 404 nt
Filed under: Planctomycetaceae bacterium
Lineage: Bacteria; Pseudomonadati; Planctomycetota; Planctomycetia; Planctomycetales; Planctomycetaceae
Description: bacterial LSU rRNA
Rfam family: Bacterial large subunit ribosomal RNA
Source: RNAcentral
GUGGCCAAGCUACUAAGGGCACAUGGGGGAUGUCUUGGCGUCAGGAGGCUUUGAAGGGCGUGGAAGACUGCGAUAAGCCCGGGGGAGUUGUCAAACGAGCGUUGAUCCUGGGAUUCCUGAACUGACGCAAGCUGAAUACAUAGGCUUGCGUAGCCAACGCGGCGAACUGAAACAUCUCAGUAACCGCUGGAAAAGAAAGAAAAAUCGAUUUCCUCAGUAGCGGCGAGCGAACGGGAAAGAGCCCAAACCGAUGGUUACGGCCAUCGGGGUUGUGGGACCAACGACAUGUAUUGCUAAGAUUUAGCCGAAUAGGACUGGAAAGUCCAAUCGAAGAAGGUAACAAUCCUGUAGGCGAAAAGUCGAAGCAGCUAGUCGGAAUCCCGAGUACCGCGGGACACGAGAAA